RNAcentral lists this ribosomal RNA (395 nucleotides) under uncultured bacterium. RNAcentral describes it as "partial 16S ribosomal RNA". It matches the Rfam family "Bacterial small subunit ribosomal RNA", at positions 523 to 918 of the family's 1533-position model. The record is from RNAcentral.
AUACGUAGGGUGCAAGCGUUAAUCGGAAUUACUGGGCGUAAAGCGUGCGCAGGCGGCUUUGUAAGACAGUGGUGAAAUCCCCGGGCUCAACCUGGGAACUGCCAUUGUGACUGCAAGGCUGGAGUGCGGCAGAGGGGGAUGGAAUUCCGCGUGUAGCAGUGAAAUGCGUAGAUAUGCGGAGGAACACCGAUGGCGAAGGCAAUCCCCUGGGCCUGCACUGACGCUCAUGCACGAAAGCGUGGGGAGCAAACAGGAUUAGAUACCCUGGUAGUCCACGCCCUAAACGAUGUCAACUGGUUGUUGGGGAUUUAUUUUCUCAGUAACGAAGCUAACGCGUGAAGUUGACCGCCUGGGGAGUACGGCCGCAAGGUUAAAACUCAAAUGAAUUGACGGGG